RNAcentral lists this long non-coding RNA (1780 nucleotides) under Pelobates cultripes (western spadefoot toad). The record is from RNAcentral. Lineage: Eukaryota; Metazoa; Chordata; Amphibia; Anura; Pelobatidae.
AUUUGUUAUUAUGUCCAUGUAACGGCACCCCCAGGCAUAAAAGGGUUAAACCGCAAAUAAGGGAAUGCUCCAAUCUCCCGAACUGCAUACAAUAUAGCACUCCAAACUCCCGAACUGGAACCAUUCGAAUAGCUGCUAGCAGACAAAUAGGAAAAGCACCCAAGCGGCUUACACUCCUAGCAAUCAGUCUCUAUCAGCAUACAGCAAAUCCCCCCAAGGACGAGACAAGGCUCCGUGUUGAGAGUCAAGCAGUGGUCUGUUUAAUGAGGGCUACCUGAACAGUAUUUAUGCAGGUCUCCCACCUGGUGGACACUCCCCUAGGGGACCAAAUGGGAGACUGUAACAAAGGACAGACAAGCAUCAAUCUAGGACACACAGUCACAUUAUAUUCCCACAAUGCAUCCUGGCUUCCUCCCCUCUGCCCUGGAGAUAAUUGAGAAGUAAUUCAAUUAUCUCCCAGGACAAAGGCAAAUCACCAUUAUACAUGUGGGGAUACCAAUACAGGAAUUACUGUUAAAAUCCCCCAUGUUAGAAAGUUUACAAUAAAUAUAUACAUUUAACAUAUCCCCAGAUAGCUCAGGUCUGAGCGCACAUUAUUAAGCGAAUGGCGCUCAGACCACACGAAUACAGUUUAAUCGCCAUGGAGCCAAAGUGUUCACAAAGUCAGUUCUCAUACGAAUGAGCUCCACGGGAUUCCUAUCUGGGGCAUGGUGUAGUCAGGUACAACUACCGAAUACAGGGCCGUUCGCGCACUUCUACCGGCCAAGAAGGGAGGUCGGCGGCUUCAGCGGGGUUCGCGCCAAAAGGCAUCUGUUUUCAGUUCCAUGAGUUGGGCGUCGAACACCGCUGUGCGUGCGCGAGUUUAAAAUGGCCGCGACCUCGUGUUCGGUAUACGAAUGGCGGCCACCCAGUAUUCGUCAAUUAAGCUGCGGUUAACCGCAGCUUCUGGGAGGCUAAUUGCCGACACACUCCAGCUCCCAGGUGGUCCAGUCAUUCGUGUGUUAGUUCGGUAGAUUGGAUCUACCGAACACCAGGCAGAAAAGCACGAAUAAGUCUUUUCUGAAGGGGAACAGAAGUCUUUAAACAUGGGGCCAUAAUCCAAAGGCAACAGGCGAGCAACCAGGCUUCUCCAAUGCAAUGUGGCAAGAUUGGUCUCGUCACAGUCCAUUUUUCUAACCUUUAGAUUUUUCUCAUUUCUACUAACCUCUCUAUGUAAAAACAAACCUACUGUUGGUCGUACCUUAACUUACAUUCCAGCUCUGACUUUGGAAGAGUUUUAUGAUGUUACCUCGCCUAACAAAUGAAGGAACUCUCCUCCACUGAUUCUGUAGGUCUCUCAGUCCAAGAGAAAUGUGGUGAAGCAAUAAAUGAAAGUCCCACAGGCUUUGGCUAGCAGGCCUGGAAAUACCUUGGACAUUUGGGUGACCGUUGGAUCAAAAGAGGGGAUUGUGAUAGAAUUUAUCUUGAUUCCAAGGCUCAAGCUUAUAGGUGUCAUAUAAUGAUAUCCUAUAUUAAAAUUGGCUAACUUGGACUGAGGAAAUGCUUGAUGCUUAACACGACACUUAAGACCAUAUAUGUCUAGUUCCGGGAGCAGAGAGCCCCCACCUGAGAUGUCUCUUCUCUAAUUUUUUUGUUCUUUCAUACCGUGGAACUUAUUUGUUAUGUGUACAUGACGUUCUUCCCUAUGUCUUAUCUGUACUCCCUUCCUAUUACUGUUCUGUGAGUAUUUGCACGUAAGCACUUACUUUUUAAUGUAUAAAAUCCAGCUGAUGAAUAAAAC